UGGGGAAUUUUGGACAAUGGGCGCAAGCCUGAUCCAGCCAUGCCGCGUGAGUGAAGAAGGCCUUCGGGUUGUAAAGCUCUUUCGGCCGGAAGAAAUCGUGGUCUCUAACAUAGGCCAUGGAUGACGGUACCGGACUAAGAAGCACCGGCUAACUACGUGCC
Molecule: ribosomal RNA, 161 nt
Filed under: uncultured bacterium
Lineage: Bacteria
Description: partial 16S ribosomal RNA
Rfam family: Bacterial small subunit ribosomal RNA
Source: RNAcentral